GACGAACGCUGGCGGCGUGCUUAACACAUGCAAGUCGAACGGUGAAGCGCCUUCCUUUUUGGUGGGUGUGGAUGAGUGGCGAACGGGUGAGUAACACGUGAGUAACCUGCCCCCUUCUUCUGGAUAACCGCAUGAAAGUGUGGCUAAUACGGGAUAUUCUGGGUCUGUCGCAUGAUGGGUCUGGGAAAGAUAUUGUUUCGGUGGGGGAUGGGCUCGCGGCCUAUCAGCUUGUUGGUGGGGUGAUGGCCUACCAAGGCGGUGACGGGUAGCCGGCCUGAGAGGGUGGACGGUCACACUGGGACUGAGACACGGCCCAGACUCCUACGGGAGGCAGCAGUGGGGAAUAUUGCACAAUGGGCGCAAGCCUGAUGCAGCGACGCCGCGUGAGGGAUGGAGGCCUUCGGGUGGUGAACCUCUUUCGCCAGUGAAGCAGGCCUGCCUCGUUUGUGGGUGGGUUGACGGUAGCUGGAUAAGAAGCGCCGGCUAACUACGU
RNAcentral lists this ribosomal RNA (493 nucleotides) under uncultured bacterium. Its description in RNAcentral is "partial 16S ribosomal RNA". It matches the Rfam family "Bacterial small subunit ribosomal RNA", at positions 28 to 506 of the family's 1533-position model. The record is from RNAcentral.